AAAUUUCUUUUACAACAGAGUAUUUUGAAUUCCUACAUUUCAUCUCCAGCCAUCAAUGGUUGUAAGAACAAUCCCGCUGUUCCUAGAAUACAUACCAGAAUAAAAACCCACAGAAAAAUGCGAUCAAUUACCAUGGCAACAUACUUCCAAUCAUCCUGAAUCUGAAAAAUAUAAACACAGACAAAUAAGACAGGAAGCAGGCAUGUUCUGAUAAAGUUUACUGAUCAUUAAAUUGGUUAGUAAUAUCAGAACUCCUUUCUGUGUUCAGCAAAAAUGUACAUGAGAGCUCCUCCAUGUACAGAAUGUUUCCUCUUUCAUAUGAACACAACUUCAAACCUGGCUUUUGAGGCAGCAGAAAUUCAUCCAUCAUUCAUACAAAAACAGUCAGGCCAAAAACAGUACAGAAUUAACUUACUAUCUCUUCGUCCCCCAAAUGGUUUGAUUCAUUAUGGCUGAAACUUGCUUUGCAUGAGUUGCAGAAGCUAUUUUUCUAAAUUAAUUCCAACUUUGUAACACUAUUUUAAGAUAAUAGAACUGUCCCUUUCACUAAACACACAGGGGACAUAUGGCCCCUCUUCCAUGGCGACAGAAAUUUGAAGGUAAAAGAGACUUUAUAGAGGGAGCACUUUCAAAAGUCACUUGGGCACCUAUGAAUCUAAGUUCCAUUGAAAGGCGCCAUUCCUGUUGAAGUGAAGGAGUUCAGCAUGAGCAUUGUUAUCAGGGAAAGCCUCACUACAGUAGCUUGCGGUAUCACUCCUCUAAGAAAGCAGGAAUUCAGGGCUCCUGCCGCAGCUUGUCACUAUGGAUGCAUGGAUCAGAGGAGGGCCAUGUCUCCACCCUGUUCACAAUCACAUAACAUCCCUGUGGCAAUUUCAGCUGUUGUUUACAUGGAAAAGUAAGACUGGGAAAGCAUUUUUAGCUAUUUAUGUGAUUAGAAAACUGUAGAAGAGAAGAAGCCAGCACCACAUGACCAGCCAGCUCUUCAUGGACCUACCAGCAUGUGCUCUACAGACGACAGUUUGGGAACUCCUGUAUUGGAGAGUAUUUCAAGCAUGUUUCACUGAGGCCAGCUUCCUUUUAUAGUGUAUAGCCAACAUAUUAUCUCAGUAACACAUUUGGUCUCCUAUUGACUUGUUGGAAGCAAAAGUCCUAAGAGCGUACCAACCCUGGGGCUUUUAUAUAGUUAUAUUUAAUGCUGUGUUGAUGUCAGAUGGGAAGCAAUUUUAACUGCAAAAAUGUCUGGAUCUAAUACUCCCUUUCAAUGAAAGGUCUGAAUUACUGAAGAGUUUCCCAUCUGUAAAUGAGAGGAAAGUUGUGUAGCAGAACUAUCUGCUCCUUCUUACUGCCAGCCUUGCAUAUACUUCUGAAAACAUUUAUAGAAAGAGUGGGGCUAGAAGGAGCACAGGGAUGCAGAGUCUGAAGUUUCCUGUCUGUUUCUCUUAUUAAAAUGUGUGUGUUUUCAAUUUUUAAUACUUAUUAGCUCAACAGACUCCAAAAGUAUUGAUGUUCAACAGAAGCAGUGAUUGGGGGGGUUGUUCUACUACUAGAGAAGUAACAGUUUGCAAUACAUACCAUAGUCGCUGUGUAUUAGUACCCGGGUUUGAUCAAAAAUCUUAGGUCUUUUGUAAUAUUCAUGUGAAUGCUCAAUUUUUUUUUAAAAUUCUUGAUACAAAACCAAAACAAAUUAAGAGUAAAGGCACUUGAUAUGGCAUGGUCUUACUUGUUAUAUAAGACAAUGUCUGGCUUCCAGAUCCUAUCAGCUGGAACUCGAAUAAACUCAGCACCUCCAUAUUCCUCUGGAUUCCACUUAAGUUUGUAAUCAUUCCAGAUCUAAUCAUAGAAGAAACCAAACUUCAUUAGAAUUACAAAAAGACCCAUCUCAAAUUGUGGACUACUGCCCAUUCUUUCCAUUAAAACA
Long non-coding RNA from Dermochelys coriacea (leatherback sea turtle), 1918 nucleotides. RefSeq lists it as uncharacterized. Lineage: Eukaryota; Metazoa; Chordata; Testudines; Dermochelyidae. The transcript has 3 exons. The record is from RefSeq and is a predicted model, not a curated record.